RNAcentral lists this ribosomal RNA (305 nucleotides) under uncultured bacterium. RNAcentral describes it as "bacterial SSU rRNA". It matches the Rfam family "Bacterial small subunit ribosomal RNA", at positions 500 to 803 of the family's 1533-position model. The record is from RNAcentral.
CCUACGGGGCGCAGCAGCCGCGGUAAUACGGAGGAUCCGAGCGUUAUCCGGAUUUAUUGGGUUUAAAGGGUGCGUAGGCGGUUUGAUAAGUUAGAGGUGAAAUGUCGGGGCUCAACCCCGAAACUGCCUCUAAUACUGUUGGACUAGAGAAUAGUUGCGGUAGGCGGAAUGUAUGGUGUAGCGGUGAAAUGCUUAGAGAUCAUACAGAACACCGAUUGCGAAGGCAGCUUACCAAACUAUAUCUGACGUUGAGGCACGAAAGCGUGGGUAGCAAACAGGAUUAGAAACCCUUGUAGUCCCACCGA